This 624-nucleotide long non-coding RNA is filed under the name Pan troglodytes (chimpanzee). RNAcentral describes it as "long non-coding RNA NONPTRT016325". Lineage: Eukaryota; Metazoa; Chordata; Mammalia; Primates; Hominidae. The record is from RNAcentral.
CGGAAGCCUAGACGCCCGGAGUUUCUGAGCGUUCUGUUCGGACCUCCUACCGUUACUCUUUCAUUCACUCAAGAAAUGAUUUCUUGAGUUCCCGGCCUUUGUCAGAGAGAUGAACGAGGCACGGUCCGUGUCCAGCUAAAGGACAGUAGGACUGGAAGAGCGUUGUUUUCCAAGGUACAGGAUGCCGCGCCUCCAAGGAGCCGAAGGGACGGGAGGCCGCGUAGAGGAGGGGACCGUCCCCGAGCCUCGCCGAGCCUGCGGUGUAGACACCUCUGGUGUCUAGUGGUUGAGGAUCUGUUGACCGGGCAUGGUGGGUAGAAGGAACGCUCCGAGCAGAAGAAAAGUGGCUGUCGUGAAGACAUCUGCGUGUGCGGGGUGCGUGGGUGCCUGGAGAUGAAGCUGGAAAGAUAAUGCAGGAAUGAAUAUCUUCAUGUCUUCCUUUUCUUCAAUUUUUUUUCUUUCAUCAUUUUCCCAAAGGAGUAAUUUUUGUUCUGUUUUGUUUUGUGUUGUGUUGUGUUGUUUUCUUUUUUUUGAGACAGCGUUUCGCUCUUGUUGCCCAGGCUGGAGUGCAAUGGCGCAAUCUCGGCUCACCACAACCUCCGCCUCUCAGGUUCAAGUGAUUCU